RNAcentral lists this ribosomal RNA (501 nucleotides) under Nonomuraea sp. PC4010. RNAcentral describes it as "bacterial SSU rRNA". It matches the Rfam family "Bacterial small subunit ribosomal RNA", at positions 65 to 587 of the family's 1533-position model. The record is from RNAcentral. Lineage: Bacteria; Bacillati; Actinomycetota; Actinomycetes; Streptosporangiales; Streptosporangiaceae.
AGCGGAAGGCCCUUCGGGGUACUCGAGCGGCGAACGGGUGAGUAACACGUGAGCAACCUGCCCCUGACUCUGGGAUAAGCCCGGGAAACUGGGUCUAAUACCGGAUACGACCGCCCCCGGCAUCGGGUGGUGGUGGAAAGUUUUUUCGGUUGGGGAUGGGCUCGCGGCCUAUCAGCUUGUUGGUGGGGUAGUGGCCUACCAAGGCGACGACGGGUAGCCGGCCUGAGAGGGCGACCGGCCACACUGGGACUGAGACACGGCCCAGACUCCUACGGGAGGCAGCAGUGGGGAAUAUUGCGCAAUGGGCGGAAGCCUGACGCAGCGACGCCGCGUGGGGGAUGACGGCCUUCGGGUUGUAAACCUCUUUCAGCAGGGACGAAGUUGACGUGUACCUGCAGAAGAAGCGCCGGCUAACUACGUGCCAGCAGCCGCGGUAAUACGUAGGGCGCAAGCGUUGUCCGGAAUUAUUGGGCGUAAAGAGCUCGUAGGUGGCUGGUCGCG